AGUCUCGGGUGAGAUCACCACGGAGCGGCUUAGCGCGGCGCACAAGUCUCGCGAGAGAAGCGGCGGCUGGGCCCUGCAGGCGGAGGAAGUGGAAAAAGUCGCGGGAGGGUAGGGGACCGCGGAACUUCUGGUUGCUAUGACGACGGCAAAGCCCUGGAUUCCUGUCUCCUGCGGAGAGCAGAGGCUGCAAACACUAGUCUCACUCUGUUGCCCAGGCUGGAGUGCAGUGGCGCGAUCUCAGCUUACUUCAGCCUCCGCCUCCCGGUUUCAAGUGAAUUCUCCAGCCUCAACUUCACAAGUAGCUGGGAUUACAGGGCAUUCAAGCAGCCCUGAGGAGAGGUCCACAUGGUGAGCCACUGAGGGCCUUGCCAAGAGCCAGCACCAACGGUCCAGGUUUGGAGUGUACCACCUUGGAAGUGAAUCUUCCAGUCCAGUCAAGCCUUCAGAUGACUUCAGAACCGUCCAUGUAAGCCACUCUUGGAUUCCUGACCCACAGAAACUGUUGGAGGCAUUAUCAACAGUUUCUAACAUCACAGACAGACAAACAUGUGCCUCCUGAUUGAAAAAACAGAACAUCACCUGUAGUCUUGCCAGUGAGAUCAAACUGAAGUCCAAUUAACCUCUGGAUCCAGCUGCCAAUUUGCAGGAAAUAGAGGAGAGAAGCAUCUGUUGAACUGCACCAUGAGUAUACACUCAGCAAAGGCCAAACUGUGGAAAAUGAUACAGGUCAAACAGCCUGGAUUCUUUAACAGUAAGUGAUGUUUCUGAAGCACCAAUGAAAAUGAAGUCCUGAAGUCCUGUGCUCAAUAUGAAAUGUUGGAAGUUAGAAGAAAAAAACAAAACUUGGAUCCAAUCUCAAGGCACUUUUUGUUUAAUGGGAAGAAGUGGAUUAUUUUAAAAGCUACAAAUAAAGUUACAUAAAAGUA
This 926-nucleotide long non-coding RNA is filed under the name Homo sapiens (human). Its description in RNAcentral is "HSALNT0377857". Lineage: Eukaryota; Metazoa; Chordata; Mammalia; Primates; Hominidae. The record is from RNAcentral.